AGCGAACGCUGGCGGCAGGCUUAACACAUGCAAGUCGAGCGGGCGUAGCAAUACGUCAGCGGCAGACGGGUGAGUAACGCGUGGGAACGUACCUUUUGGUUCGGAACAACACAGGGAACUUGUGCUAAUACCGAAUAAGCCCUUACGGGGAAAGAUUUAUCGCCGAAAGAUCGGCCCGCGUCUGAUCAGCUAGUUGGUGA
This 200-nucleotide ribosomal RNA is filed under the name uncultured bacterium. RNAcentral's name for it is "partial 16S ribosomal RNA". It matches the Rfam family "Bacterial small subunit ribosomal RNA", at positions 29 to 255 of the family's 1533-position model. The record is from RNAcentral.